This is a non-coding RNA of Vigna umbellata (rice bean), 607 nucleotides long. NCBI's taxonomy places the organism in Eukaryota, Viridiplantae, Streptophyta, Magnoliopsida, Fabales, Fabaceae. The record is from RefSeq and is a predicted model, not a curated record.
UUAAGAAGAGCAUGUUGUGAUGGGUCAAGAUGUGAUCUGAACCGGAAAGUUGGUUAUGCUAAUAAGAGCUAUGUGAUAAUCUUCUCUUCUUCCUUCUGUUUUCUAUUUCUUUUAUUUUUUUCUAACAAAACGAAAAGCCUACGGCCAGAUUCUACGGCGCGAGUUUGAGAGGAGGAGAGAUCGAGUUAUAGAAACCAAAACGUGGUAGGCAUAGGGGGCGCGAUUUUUUGAGAAAGAGAAGGAGAUUCUUCGGGAUUCUGGAGUUUUUGGGCAAACUUGGGAGAAAGUCUAAUUAGGAACAAAGCGAAGAGGACGAAGGAGAAAGAGAGAGCGCGGAGGACGUGAGUUCGGUGCGCGAGCAGUACGAGAUUAGGGUUUUCGGGUUUAAUUGUGAGAAUAUAUCGAACCAGUUGAAUGCAGAUUGAAGGAGAAUAAACCACAAAAAUUAGUAUUUUGUCUCUCCAAUUUCUUGAUAAGUCAGAGAACAGUCACGGACAGACGCACGAACACCACCAGACCAGUAGCGAUGUCUUCCUCUUCUAUCACUGCCACAACCACCAUAACAAUUCAAAGCUCAGAGCCAUCAACCUCUUCAUCUCAGAACCAA